UACAGAGGUCUCAAGCGUUACGCGGAUUCAUUGGGCUUAAAGGGUGCGUAGGCGGACUUGCAAGUGCCUUGUGAAAUCCCAGAGCUUAACUCUGGAAUCGCUCGGUAGACUGUGAGUCUUGAGGUCGGUAGGGGCUGUCGGAACGCUAGGUGGAGCGGUGAAAUGCGUAGAUAUCUAGCGGAACGCCAAAGGUGAAGACAGACAGCUGGGCCGAUUCUGACGCUGAGGCACGAAAGCGUGGGUAGCGAACGGG
Molecule: ribosomal RNA, 253 nt
Filed under: uncultured bacterium
Lineage: Bacteria
Description: partial 16S ribosomal RNA
Rfam family: Bacterial small subunit ribosomal RNA
Source: RNAcentral